UUCAUAUCCCAAUUGAAGAUGAGUGCUCUCCUUUUUAUACCCCCCCCCUUUCGAACAAUGACCAGUCCCGGUCUUGUUAACUACAAAGGAGUAAUUAGCUCAAGUGCUUUCACUGGGUGGCCACCACUCAAAUAACAGAAUACACAUGCUCGAGUAAAUGGCAGCCAUUUUGACUCUUGAACACUGUCCUUCGAACAUCUGGAACUCUUUUCAGCUACAUGAUUCUGCGAAACCCAAG
Non-coding RNA from Pelobates cultripes (western spadefoot toad), 238 nucleotides. Lineage: Eukaryota; Metazoa; Chordata; Amphibia; Anura; Pelobatidae. The record is from the annotation of a GenBank genome assembly.